Molecule: ribosomal RNA, 253 nt
Filed under: uncultured bacterium
Lineage: Bacteria
Description: partial 16S ribosomal RNA
Rfam family: Bacterial small subunit ribosomal RNA
Source: RNAcentral
UACGUAGGGGGCAAGCGUUGUCCGGAAUUAUUGGGCGUAAAGAGCGUGUAGGCGGCCAGAUAGGUCAGCUGUGAAAACUCGAGGCUCAACCUCGAGAUGUCGGCUGAAACCAUCUGGCUAGAGUCCGGAAGAGGAGAAUGGAAUUCCCGGUGUAGCGGUGAAAUGCGCAGAUAUCGGGAAGAACACCAAUGGCGAAGGCAGCUCUCUGGGACGGUACUGACGCUGAGACGCGAAAGCGUGGGGAGCGAACAGG